Molecule: long non-coding RNA, 980 nt
Filed under: Ananas comosus (pineapple)
Lineage: Eukaryota; Viridiplantae; Streptophyta; Magnoliopsida; Poales; Bromeliaceae
Description: long non-coding RNA (ACOM_LNC004068)
Source: RNAcentral
CGGCGGUUUAAACCGCCUCUAACUUAAAUUUCUGUAAGGAAAAAUCUAAUUAUCUUAUUUGUACCGGCGGGUUAAACCGCCGGUACAUAUUUUGCUAAAUUGUAAUAAUCAUCCAAAUUAUAUAUAUUUUUACAAGUAAUUACUGUAUUUUUAAAAUCAAAGUUAUUGAUUCCAAAUCAACAAAUAAAUACCAAACUUGAAAACAAAUUAAGACAUAAACCAAUAAAAUAUAAUCUAUAAAGUGUACUAACCAAAUGAUCAUCAAGUAUCAAAUUUUAAUAUAAAGCAAUCCAUCACAUAGUAGCUAAUCAUUUUAUAACACAUCAAAACAAAACGACUAUCCCGAACAUACAUAUAUAGCAGCUAAUAACUUGUGAUGCACCAAAAUGCAUAAUGUCAGUCUAAACUUCAACAAAAAAUAAGAAAAAGAAAUUCACGAGUACUUUACUAAACAAAAUGUGACUCGUCUUUUAAUCCAUUGAGUUCUUAAGUAAACAAAAUAUGAUUGUUGUCUUUCACUGGUUGCAUUUAAACGGUUCGCCCAUGAAGAUUGGUUUGUGGUUCAUGACUUGAAUUUGAUGACCGAAUGUUAGGAGAAGAACAAUUUGCACUACCAUGAUCUACAACCUGAAAGUAAAACAUGCAAUAAAUUUAUAUUAGUUCAAACAAUAGUAAUUAGUUGAUAGAAAAUACGAAAUACAAGAAAAAAUAUUCUAAAAUUUCUUGCCUGUAGGUUAAUCGGUGGACUGGAUGUAGGUGAUGGGGAUCCUAGAUUCUCCUCAGGAAAUUUUUUAGAUAUUAAUGCUUGUAGACGUUCCACUUCUUUUUGUAAGCCUUUCAUCUCCCCUUUUAGUUUAUCCACCUCUCUUGACCGUUCGUCGCUUGCAGAAGGUUGAUUGUUUGAAGGCAAGCCCCAACAAUUUAGCCGAUAGUAGCUAGUUGGCGUAGGUCCCAAGCCUAAGCCCUUCACACGACCAUUN